GGGGAAUAUUGCACAAUGGGCGAAAGCCUGAUGCAGCAACGCCGCGUGAGUGAUGAAGGCCUUCGGGUCGUAAAACUCUGUCCUCAAGGAAGAUAAUGACGGUACUUGAGGAGGAAGCCCCGGCUAACUACGUGCCAGCAGCCGCGGUAAUACGUAGGGGGCUAGCGUUAUCCGGAUUUACUGGGCGUAAAGGGUGCGUAGGCGGUCUUUCAAGUCAGGAGUGAAAGGCUACGGCUCAACCGUAGUAAGCUCUUGAAACUGGGAGACUUGAGUGCAGGAGAGGAGAGUGGAAUUCCUAGUGUAGCGGUGAAAUGCGUAGAUAUUAGGAGGAACACCAGUUGCGAAGGCGGCUCUCUGGACUGUAACUGACGCUGAGGCACGAAAGCGUGGGGAGCAAACAGGAUUAGAUACCCUGGUAGUCCACGCUGUAAACGAUGAGUACUAGGUGUCG
Molecule: ribosomal RNA, 451 nt
Filed under: Clostridioides difficile
Lineage: Bacteria; Bacillati; Bacillota; Clostridia; Peptostreptococcales; Peptostreptococcaceae
Description: bacterial SSU rRNA
Rfam family: Bacterial small subunit ribosomal RNA
Source: RNAcentral